AUGGCAAGAGGGGCUCUAGAAAUUCUCCUGACGACGUCAUGUUGGGGCAGGGGGAGUGCCCAGAGAGGCAGGAGGCAGGCGGCACACUGUGCAGCCUCGACGGAACAGAAGGUCCAGACCCACAGGCUGUGCCGUGAGACACAAGCCAGGAAGCAGCCGUGCGGAUUCAGGGUCGGUGCGGCCCCAGCGGAGGGCGUCCCCCACCCACUGCGGGGAAUCUGGGGUCUGGGGUCAGAGCCACCCUCCCCAGAAGAGCACUUCUCUUUCUCUGUGAGAGCAACCAGCCUGGAUUCCCAGAGAAGCAGGAGGAAAAUGUGGAGACGCUCUCUGUGCAAACUCACCUACGGAAAGACCCCAGCUCCUGCCAUGUCCUGCCUCCCACAUAGUGACCUGUGUUCAGAUGCCCCACCUGGUCGGCUGUUCCUCCUCUGGAAGGGGCAGAAUAUUCUGGAGUCGUCUGUCUCCCAAUGCCAUGCUGUCCGCCCUUCCCUUGCUAAGAGCCUGGCUCUGGUCAGGGUCAAACGAGCCGGAUUUUGA
RNAcentral lists this long non-coding RNA (537 nucleotides) under Panthera leo (lion). RNAcentral describes it as "lncRNA (ENSPLOG00000021793.1)". The record is from RNAcentral. Lineage: Eukaryota; Metazoa; Chordata; Mammalia; Carnivora; Felidae.